This 112-nucleotide ribosomal RNA is filed under the name Bordetella trematum. The record is from RNAcentral. Lineage: Bacteria; Pseudomonadati; Pseudomonadota; Betaproteobacteria; Burkholderiales; Alcaligenaceae.
UGACGACCAUAGCAAGGUGGUCCCACUCCUUCCCAUCCCGAACAGGACAGUGAAACGCCUUCGCGCCGAUGAUAGUUGACAUCCGUCUGUGAAAGUAGGUCAUCGUCAGGCU